RNAcentral lists this ribosomal RNA (1372 nucleotides) under uncultured bacterium. Its description in RNAcentral is "bacterial SSU rRNA". It matches the Rfam family "Bacterial small subunit ribosomal RNA", at positions 28 to 1381 of the family's 1533-position model. The record is from RNAcentral.
GAUGAACGCUGGCGGCGUGCCUAAUACAUGCAAGUCGAGCGAACGGACGAGAAGCUUGCUUCUCUGAUGUUAGCGGCGGACGGGUGAGUAACACGUGGAUAACCUACCUAUAAGACUGGGAUAACUUCGGGAAACCGGAGCUAAUACCGGAUAAUAUUUUGAACCGCAUGGUUCAAAAGUGAAAGACGGUCUUGCUGUCACUUAUAGAUGGAUCCGCGCUGCAUUAGCUAGUUGGUAAGGUAACGGCUUACCAAGGCAACGAUGCAUAGCCGACCUGAGAGGGUGAUCGGCCACACUGGAACUGAGACACGGUCCAGACUCCUACGGGAGGCAGCAGUAGGGAAUCCUCCGCAAUGGGCGAAAGCCUGACGGAGCAACGCCGCGUGAGUGAUGAAGGUCUUCGGAUCGUAAAACUCUGUUAUUAGGGAAGAACAUAUGUGUAAGUAACUGUGCACAUCUUGACGGUACCUAAUCAGAAAGCCCCCGCUAACUACGUGCCAGCAGCCGCGGUAAUACGUAGGUGGCAAGCGUUAUCCGGAAUUAUUGGGCGUAAAGCGCGCGUACGCGGUUUUUUAAGUCUGAUGUGAAAGCCCACGGCUCAACCGUGGAGGGUCAUUGGAAACUGGAAAACUUGAGUGCAGAAGAGGAAAGUGGAAUUCCAUGUGUAGCGGUGAAAUGCGCAGAGAUAUGGAGGAACACCAGUGGCGAAGGCGACUUUCUGGUCUGUAACUGACGCUGAUGUGCGAAAGCGUGGGGAUCAAACAGGAUUAGAUACCCUGGUAGUCCACGCCGUAAACGAUGAGUGCUAAGUGUUAGGGGGUUUCCGCCCCUUAGUGCUGCAGCUAACGCAUUAAGCACUCCGCCUGGGGAGUACGACCGCAAGGUUGAAACUCAAAGGAAUUGACGGGGACCCGCACAAGCGGUGGAGCAUGUGGUUUAAUUCGAAGCAACGCGAAGAACCUUACCAAAUCUUGACAUCCUUUGACAACUCUAGAGAUAGAGCCUUCCCCUUCGGGGGACAAAGUGACAGGUGGUGCAUGGUUGUCGUCAGCUCGUGUCGUGAGAUGUUGGGUUAAGUCCCGCAACGAGCGCAACCCUUAAGCUUAGUUGCCAUCAUUAAGUUGGGCACUCUAAGUUGACUGCCGGUGACAAACCGGAGGAAGGUGGGGAUGACGUCAAAUCAUCAUGCCCCUUAUGAUUUGGGCUACGCACGUGCUACAAUGGACAAUACAAAGGGCAGCGAAACCGCGAGGUCAAGCAAAUCCCAUAAAGUUGUUCUCAGUUCGGAUUGUAGUCUGCAACUCGACUACAUGAAGCUGGAAUCGCUAGUAAUCGUAGAUCAGCAUGCUACGGUGAAUACGUUCCCGGGUCU